CAGCUCUCCCUUCCCCUGAAAAAAACAAAAAACAAAAGGAAAAAACAUCCAGCAGUUUCCCAAAUCGCGCAUGCGCCGGCCGCCGCGGACCUCGCCGCCGUUACGGAGGUCCCCCUGACCGCGUCAUACGGCGAACCAGGAAACCCACAAUUGCAUCCGGGCCAGGCGGAGGCGAACCAAAACCGACCGAACCCCUGCCUGCUCCCCAGCCCGCGAGUCCCAAACCCGGAUCGAUUAGCCCCGAGCGCCGCCGCCGCCGCCGCCGCCGAGCACGAUGCUUGAUCUGGACACAGAAUGGAUCCGCAAGAUCUUCUCCGCCUCCUCCCAGCCCCCGCCGCUCCCUCCCCGCGACGCCGCGGCCCCUCCCCCGGCCUGGUUCCUGCUCGAGCCGCUCGGGUACAUCGCCGACCACGCGAACGCCACCUCCGCGGAGGCCUCCUCCAGCACGGGCCACACCGUCCGGGUCACCGUCUGCGCCACCGACCCGCUCGGCCUCUCCCACGUCUGCUUCCACUGCAACGGCCUCACCGACGCCGACUUCUCCGACCGGCCCACCGUCGUCUGCUCCGAGAAGGACCUCCUCGUCCUCUCGGUCGUCUUCAUCUACGGCCCCUACGCCAAGGAGGGCCUCAAGGAGUACUUCGUCUACAGGGCCGGGCCCGGCCCGCCGUCCCUCUACCUGCUCCCAGGCCCCUUCCCGCGCGUCCUCACCAAGGCCGACGUCGCGCUCCUCCCCCGCGACGACGGCGCGCAUUUCCUCAUCGCCGUCCUGUGCUUCACGCUCGGCCGCUGGGUCUAUGACCUCCAUGUGUUCUCUUCCACGACCUGGGCUUGGAGCGUCAAGGAGGUGGAGGGGGACGUAUCGCCUGGCGCCAAGGCCGCAGUGUCCCACAUUAUAGCUUCCAAGGUGAUCCUGCUCGGAGGAGGCACGGUGGGAUGGGUUGAUCUCUGGAGGGGGAUCGUGGUCUGCGACGUGCUCCAAGAAAAGCCCGUGCUGCGGUUCAUCCCGUUGCCCCCGCUGAUGCCUGGCCACAGGGAAGGCCCCAAGUCAUCCCCAUGGCCCAUUCGGAACGUCUCCUGCAGCGAUGGUUUGAUCAAGUAUGUCGAGGUAGAGAAACAUCAAAGGCGUGAUCCUGACGAGAGGCCGUUCGAUGACAUUGAUACGCUCUACGAGGGAGACUGCUUGGCGAAGCCCAAAGUAAUGGGCUGGAAGGCCAUGACAUGGUAUAGAAGGUUCUCUUGUGACCACUGGAGCAAGGGGUGUGUGGCUUUUGACAAGGAAAUAUCGAUUGACAGCCCGACGCGCUCUAUGUUGUUGCCUGACCUGACGGAUGAUGAUGCUGGAGAGUUGACACUAAAGGACAUGCUGGCAUCUUACCCUGUCCCAACCUUGGCAAGCCAUUGCGAUGAUGUCGUUUACAUGUUGUGUGAAUCGAAAUCUGGCAGCAAAAAGUCAUGGCUGAUCACUGUUGACCUGAAAAAGAAGAUACUGGUCGAAUUGGCACCGUUUCCUCUCGAAGGGUAUUACAACCCAGCCCACCCUUUUGAACUGUCCAGUUAUCUGAACGUAGCACCAGCAAAACACAAUUCAGUCGGCUGAGCAACUGGCGGCAAAAUUUAUGUGGCCAGGAGAUGUCACUGCCAAAUCUGUCGCAGAGGAAGCUACUUCAGAAGAACCCUGAGAAGGAGCUGGUGAGGACAUGUGUGGUGCUCGGGCACCAUACUCACCGUUCAGAACCCAACUCAAGCCUCCCUGCAACCGCAAACAUGGAGAUUUUUCUGGCAUGUCGAGCUCUGUUGACGUCUUCUGCAGUACUCUACUGUUCCCAUUUUAUUUACCGGGCUAUCCUGUGCUUUGCUGCCACGUAUUUGUGGCUAUUGUUUCUAUAUUACUCCCUCUGUCCCAUAAUAUAAGAAUGUUUUGCAAGCUAUCGUAAUAUAAGAAUGUUUUGCUUAUAUUAUGAUAGCUUUAAAAACAUUCUUAUGUCAUUGGAUGGAGGGAGCAUUAGUUUAGCUUUCUGUCCUAGUCCUGUGGUGUACACUGUUUUGGUUAAGUGGUUCUCCUAUUUGUAUAGAUCUUUUGUUUUGCUUUCCUAUAAGCUGGGUAAUGGAAAAACCUACGGUUGAGUAUUGAA
Molecule: RNA transcript, 2135 nt
Organism: Hordeum vulgare subsp. vulgare (domesticated barley)
Lineage: Eukaryota; Viridiplantae; Streptophyta; Magnoliopsida; Poales; Poaceae
Exons: 3
Source: RefSeq, a predicted model, not a curated record